CCUACGGGUGGCAGCAGUGAGGAAUAUUGGUCAAUGGGCGGAAGCCUGAACCAGCCAAGUAGCGUGCAGGAUGACGGCCCUACGGGUUGUAAACUGCUUUUAUACGGGAAUAACGCGCCUUACGUGUAGGGCUCUGCAUGUACCCUAUGAAUAAGGACCGGCUAAUUCCGUGCCAGCAGCCGCGGUAAUACGGAAGGUGCGAGCGUUGUUCGGAAUUACUGGGCGUAAAGGGAGUGUAGGCGGAUAUGUAAGAUAGCGGUGAAAUGCCGGGGCUCAACCCCGGAACUGCCAUUAUGACUGUGUAUCUAGAGUGAUGGAGAGGUAAGCGGAAUGCGCAGUGUAGAGGUGAAAUUCGUAGAUAUUGGGUAGAACACCGGUGGCGAAGGCGGCUAUCUGGCCAUUUACUGACGCUGAGGCUCGAAAGCGUGGGGAUCAAACAGGAUUAGAUACCCUAGUAGUA
Molecule: ribosomal RNA, 460 nt
Filed under: uncultured bacterium
Lineage: Bacteria
Description: partial 16S ribosomal RNA
Rfam family: Bacterial small subunit ribosomal RNA
Source: RNAcentral